CUACGGGGGGCACCAGUGAGGAAUAUUGCACAAUGGGGGGAACCCUGAUGCAGCAACGCCGCGUGGGGGAUGACGCAUUUCGGUGUGUAAACUCCUUUUAUAUGUCAAGAAAAUGACGGUAGCAUAUGAAUAAGCACCGGCUAACUCCGUGCCAGCAGCCGCGGUAAUGCGGAGGGUGCAAGCGUUACUCGGAAUCACUGGGCGUAAAGGACGCGUAGGCGGGUUGGAAAGUCAGGUGUGAAGUCCUACAGCUUAACUGUAGAACUGCACUUGAAACUUCUAAUCUAGAGUAUGGGAGGGGGAGAUGGAAUUAGUGGUGUAGGGGUAAAAUCCGUAGAUAUCACUAGGAAUACCUAAAGCGAAGGCGAUCUCCUGGAACAUUACUGACGCUAAGGCGUGAAAGCGUGGGGAGCAAACAGGAUUAGAUACCCCCGUAGUC
RNAcentral lists this ribosomal RNA (439 nucleotides) under uncultured bacterium. RNAcentral describes it as "partial 16S ribosomal RNA". It matches the Rfam family "Bacterial small subunit ribosomal RNA", at positions 339 to 795 of the family's 1533-position model. The record is from RNAcentral.